CUUUCUCUAUCUCAAUCAUUUCUUUCUCUCUCUCACAUGGACAUACUUGUUGAAGUUGAGCUACUGGCCUGCAAUAGCUGACCAGAUGACCCCAAAAUCACUCGCGGAGAAUCUCCAGGCUCUUCAGGCUCUUGCUAUCUUAUAUUUGCUGCUGCCCUGAUUUAUAAUGCCACCGCCCUUUAUCUUUCUUUGCUUAAAACCACUUGUGGUUCACUGUGUCCAAUAUUCUUCAUCGUAAUAAUCAUCAAAUUUGGAUAUUAGUAUCAUCUCAUUUUUUUAAAAAAAUGAGAUGAUACUAAUAUCCAAAUUUGAUGAUUAUUACGAUGAAGAAUAUUGGACACAGUGAACCACAAGUGGUUUUAAGCAAAGAAAGAUAAAGGGCGGUGGCAUUAUAAAUCAGGGCAGCAGCAAAUAUAAGAUAGCAAGAGCCUGAAGAGCCUGGAGAUUCUCCGCGAG
RNAcentral lists this unclassified non-coding RNA (456 nucleotides) under Hevea brasiliensis (rubber tree). The record is from RNAcentral. Lineage: Eukaryota; Viridiplantae; Streptophyta; Magnoliopsida; Malpighiales; Euphorbiaceae.